Molecule: small nucleolar RNA, 79 nt
Organism: Capsella rubella
Lineage: Eukaryota; Viridiplantae; Streptophyta; Magnoliopsida; Brassicales; Brassicaceae
Rfam family: Small nucleolar RNA Z199
About the family: snoZ199 is a C/D box small nucleolar RNA, which acts as a methylation guide RNA for sites on 18S and 25S rRNA. Rice snoZ199 is reported to be homologous to Arabidopsis snoR13.
Source: Rfam
GAUCAGUUGAUGAGUUAAUACUGCAACAAUAUGAUGGAGAUAAUCUAUAUGAUUCUUAGUAUUUAAGUCUCUGAUGAUC